CUGUUUCCCUCUGCUCUCUCACACCCUGGAAUUUCCCAGGGAGGCAGAAGAAAAGGAAGAGGCAGGAUGGGGGAGGAGAGAUCACAGCACACAGCAAGGAGGAGGAAGGAAGGAGGGUGAAAGGAGGAGAUAGAGGAGGAAGAGGGCCCAGCAGCUGGAAGACCCACACCCUACAGCUCUGUGGCUGACAGCCACUCAGUUGGGCAAGAUGUGGUUGAGGUACAAAAGUCUAAAAGGUCGUUUCAAAUUUUCCUAAUGAGCAUGUAGCCUGAAUGUCAAGAGGGAACGCCUAUAGCACAGUGGAACUCAACGCAGAUGAAGCUGGAAGUUAGAGCCCUUUCUUUACAUCGCACUUACAGUUUUUUCAGAAAGGGAAGUAGAGAUGGUCCCCAAGCUGGUGCCUGUAUUACUGGUCUGAGCUGAGUCCUCACUCAGGGCCCUCUCUAGACUGGCAGGUAGGGAAUGGAUUAGUCUUUCUCUGAAGUCCUGGCCCAUAAAGACAUAAACCAUUGGGUUGAGGCAGCUGUUGAAGAAAGCCAAGGGACUUGUGAUUUUCAAAGCAAUUACAGUGCUUUGUGCCAUGUUCUUCACCCGUUCACGGAUUUGGAUUGUGGAUAUGAGGGCCACUACUUGAAAUGGACACCAGCAGAGGAAAAAGGCAGCCACAACAAAAGAGAGGACCCGCAAAGGACGGCUGGAUUUGAUCAAGCCUUGCCUGUGGAUUUUAGUGGCUAUUAACCCAUAGCAAAUGGCAACAAUGGACAUGGGAGUGCUGAACCCAAUGAUGAACCUGAUGAUUCCUCUGACAGUAUACAUGGUGAUAGCCACUUUCUCUCUCUCUACAGGAUCCUUGGUCCAGGGGGAGAAGUCAAAAACACAGGCUGUUUUCCCUGGUUCAAGUCUAAUAGGGACUGUGGUCAUACGAAUGAUAACUGGCAAUGUAAGGAGAAAUGCACAAAUCCAGGGUACAAUGAUUACCUUCUUGGCCAGGCUCACGGUGCGGUGGUUCUGAGCCCAGACUGGAUGCAGGACACAAAUACAGCGGUCCAAUGCUAUGAGGGCAAUCAGAAAGACACUUCCAAAUAGGUUUAUGUCUAUUACAGUAUAUAUGAACUUGCACAUGAACCAACCAAAUGGCCAGUGUUGUCCCAUGGCUAUGCUGGUGAUGUAAAAUGGCAAAGUGGAGGUGAAGCAAAAGUCAGCAAUGGCCAAGUUCAAGUAAGAGAUGGUGGUAACGGUGUGUUUCAUGCGGAAACCAGCCACCCAGAUCACAAGCCCAUUGCCUAGCACUCCAAGGACAAAGGUGACUGCAAAGAUCAAAUAUGAGAAGACAUCCAGAACAAUGUAGCCAGCAGAUCUUGAUUGAGAACUCCUAGAUACAUUCACGAGCUUUGCUGCAGACAUGUUCAUGAGGAGAGACGUGUUGGUGUCCAUCGUGUAGACUCCUACAACAUUAAGAAAGAGGUGUGUUUAUUUGUCUUACCUUUUCUUUUCUCUGUCAGACAAGGUCUCAGUAUACAUCCUUGCUAGCCUAGAACUUUCUCUAUAGACAAAAGUGGCUGUGAACUCACAGAAAUCUGCCUGUCUCUUCCUUUCUUGUGUUGGGAUUAAAGUGGUAUAUCACAA
Molecule: long non-coding RNA, 1626 nt
Organism: Mastomys coucha (southern multimammate mouse)
Lineage: Eukaryota; Metazoa; Chordata; Mammalia; Rodentia; Muridae
Exons: 2
Source: RefSeq, a predicted model, not a curated record